Molecule: long non-coding RNA, 446 nt
Filed under: Monodelphis domestica (gray short-tailed opossum)
Lineage: Eukaryota; Metazoa; Chordata; Mammalia; Didelphimorphia; Didelphidae
Description: lncRNA (ENSMODG00000044943.1)
Source: RNAcentral
CAAAGCCAGAGUUGCCAACAUCUGACAAGAGUUUACAUAGCUUGAACAAAAUUCAAAUAACAUAAUGAUGGGAUUCAGUGAUUCAGAUUCAGACACUGAAUCAGAAAGAAUACCAGAAGUUCCUGACUGAUUUUACCAGUGUAUCCUGAUUUGAAGAACAUGUCUUCAAUCAAGAUUGGACGAUGGCAAUUGGCAUGUGGACCAGACAAAGGCCCAGAGAGGAAGAAAGAGUUUCUACAAGCAACAUGAAAGGACAUGGAAGAACUUUGGAACUUUGAAAUCUUGCAACUUUUGAUCGUGAGGAUAUGUAAGAGUGCGUCAUACAUGUGAACAUCACUUAUAUAUGCAUGCACAUCCUACAUAGCAAAGGAAGAUAUUUCAUGGAAUGGAUGAAACAUAGGUUCCCUGAUUUGUUUCCAGUCUACAACUGCAAGUGUACAGGUUGA